Molecule: long non-coding RNA, 639 nt
Filed under: Chinchilla lanigera (long-tailed chinchilla)
Lineage: Eukaryota; Metazoa; Chordata; Mammalia; Rodentia; Chinchillidae
Description: lncRNA (ENSCLAG00000023472.1)
Source: RNAcentral
GUUGAGAGCCCCUGUGAAUUUGUCAUAGUGUACAAGAGGAUAAGGACUGAACUGUGGGUAUAGGCUUGCCUUUGUGCACACAAGAGGUCACAAUGGUGUGUGCAUGUGGGAGUGCUGCACGCCUCGGUGCCCAGGAAGACAUUGUGUAACCAUGUGGACUAGUGUGGGUGUCCAGGGGGCAGGCAUGCGGCAUCUUCGUGCCCAGCGGACAUUGCAAGCGUGGUUCCUGGUGGUGAUGCACGAACACUGUGUGUGGCUCUGUAUACUUGGCUGUGUGCACAAGGAAGCUCGCGGCACGGGCAUUGUGUUUCUGCGGCUGCAUUUUUACAGGGCAGUGGCGGUGCUGGUGCCGGCGGUGGGGGUGAUGCUGAUGGCACCGUGUGGGGAGACUGUGCUGCGGGAGCUAUGCCUGCUGCCCACUAGGUCAUCAGUUUGUCACAAAGACUUAGACACUCUCUAGCGGAACCUGGAAGAGAAGAGGAAAUCUUGGUUCUGAGUGAAGGGCUACUGGAGAGAGAGUGAUGGAAUGGGAGAGAAGGAGGAAUUCAAGAAAAGAGGAAGAGCCAGGUAUGGUGGCGCACGUCUGUAAUUCCAGCACUUGGGAGGCUGAGGCAGGAGGAUCGUUGCAAGUUCAAGGCC